RNAcentral lists this ribosomal RNA (253 nucleotides) under uncultured bacterium. RNAcentral's name for it is "partial 16S ribosomal RNA". It matches the Rfam family "Bacterial small subunit ribosomal RNA", at positions 524 to 776 of the family's 1533-position model. The record is from RNAcentral.
UACAUGGGGUGCAAACGUUGCUCGGAAUUAUUGGGCGUAAAGCGCGCGUAGGCGGUUACUCAAGUCGGAUGUGAAAGCCCUCGGCUUAACUGAGGAAGUGCACCCGAAACUGAGUAGCUAGAGUACCAAAGAGGGUCGCGGAAUUCCCGGUGUAGAGGUGAAAUUCGUAGAUAUCAGGAGGAACACCGGUGGCGAAGGCGGCUUCCUGGCCAUUCACUGACGCUGAGACGCGAAAGCGUGGGGAGCAAACAGG